RNAcentral lists this ribosomal RNA (2261 nucleotides) under Escherichia coli. Its description in RNAcentral is "bacterial LSU rRNA". It matches the Rfam family "Bacterial large subunit ribosomal RNA", at positions 687 to 2925 of the family's 2925-position model. Lineage: Bacteria; Pseudomonadati; Pseudomonadota; Gammaproteobacteria; Enterobacterales; Enterobacteriaceae. The record is from RNAcentral.
ACUGGGCGUUAAGUUGCAGGGUAUAGACCCGAAACCCGGUGAUCUAGCCAUGGGCAGGUUGAAGGUUGGGUAACACUAACUGGAGGACCGAACCGACUAAUGUUGAAAAAUUAGCGGAUGACUUGUGGCUGGGGGUGAAAGGCCAAUCAAACCGGGAGAUAGCUGGUUCUCCCCGAAAGCUAUUUAGGUAGCGCCUCGUGAAUUCAUCUCCGGGGGUAGAGCACUGUUUCGGCAAGGGGGUCAUCCCGACUUACCAACCCGAUGCAAACUGCGAAUACCGGAGAAUGUUAUCACGGGAGACACACGGCGGGUGCUAACGUCCGUCGUGAAGAGGGAAACAACCCAGACCGCCAGCUAAGGUCCCAAAGUCAUGGUUAAGUGGGAAACGAUGUGGGAAGGCCCAGACAGCCAGGAUGUUGGCUUAGAAGCAGCCAUCAUUUAAAGAAAGCGUAAUAGCUCACUGGUCGAGUCGGCCUGCGCGGAAGAUGUAACGGGGCUAAACCAUGCACCGAAGCUGCGGCAGCGACGCUUAUGCGUUGUUGGGUAGGGGAGCGUUCUGUAAGCCUGUGAAGGUGUACUGUGAGGUAUGCUGGAGGUAUCAGAAGUGCGAAUGCUGACAUAAGUAACGAUAAAGCGGGUGAAAAGCCCGCUCGCCGGAAGACCAAGGGUUCCUGUCCAACGUUAAUCGGGGCAGGGUGAGUCGACCCCUAAGGCGAGGCCGAAAGGCGUAGUCGAUGGGAAACAGGUUAAUAUUCCUGUACUUGGUGUUACUGCGAAGGGGGGACGGAGAAGGCUAUGUUGGCCGGGCGACGGUUGUCCCGGUUUAAGCGUGUAGGCUGGUUUUCCAGGCAAAUCCGGAAAAUCAAGGCUGAGGCGUGAUGACGAGGCACUACGGUGCUGAAGCAACAAAUGCCCUGCUUCCAGGAAAAGCCUCUAAGCAUCAGGUAACAUCAAAUCGUACCCCAAACCGACACAGGUGGUCAGGUAGAGAAUACCAAGGCGCUUGAGAGAACUCGGGUGAAGGAACUAGGCAAAAUGGUGCCGUAACUUCGGGAGAAGGCACGCUGAUAUGUAGGUGAAGCGACUUGCUCGUGGAGCUGAAAUCAGUCGAAGAUACCAGCUGGCUGCAACUGUUUAUUAAAAACACAGCACUGUGCAAACACGAAAGUGGACGUAUACGGUGUGACGCCUGCCCGGUGCCGGAAGGUUAAUUGAUGGGGUUAGCGGCAACGCGAAGCUCUUGAUCGAAGCCCCGGUAAACGGCGGCCGUAACUAUAACGGUCCUAAGGUAGCGAAAUUCCUUGUCGGGUAAGUUCCGACCUGCACGAAUGGCGUAAUGAUGGCCAGGCUGUCUCCACCCGAGACUCAGUGAAAUUGAACUCGCUGUGAAGAUGCAGUGUACCCGCGGCAAGACGGAAAGACCCCGUGAACCUUUACUAUAGCUUGACACUGAACAUUGAGCCUUGAUGUGUAGGAUAGGUGGGAGGCUUUGAAGUGUGGACGCCAGUCUGCAUGGAGCCGACCUUGAAAUACCACCCUUUAAUGUUUGAUGUUCUAACGUUGGCCCCUUAUCGGGGUUGCGGACAGUGUCUGGUGGGUAGUUUGACUGGGGCGGUCUCCUCCUAAAGAGUAACGGAGGAGCACGAAGGUUGGCUAAUCCUGGUCGGACAUCAGGAGGUUAGUGCAAUGGCAUAAGCCAGCUUGACUGCGAGCGUGACGGCGCGAGCAGGUGCGAAAGCAGGUCAUAGUGAUCCGGUGGUUCUGAAUGGAAGGGCCAUCGCUCAACGGAUAAAAGGUACUCCGGGGAUAACAGGCUGAUACCGCCCAAGAGUUCAUAUCGACGGCGGUGUUUGGCACCUCGAUGUCGGCUCAUCACAUCCUGGGGCUGAAGUAGGUCCCAAGGGUAUGGCUGUUCGCCAUUUAAAGUGGUACGCGAGCUGGGUUUAGAACGUCGUGAGACAGUUCGGUCCCUAUCUGCCGUGGGCGCUGGAGAACUGAGGGGGGCUGCUCCUAGUACGAGAGGACCGGAGUGGACGCAUCACUGGUGUUCGGGUUGUCAUGCCAAUGGCACUGCCCGGUAGCUAAAUGCGGAAGAGAUAAGUGCUGAAAGCAUCUAAGCACGAAACUUGCCCCGAGAUGAGUUCUCCCUGACCCUUUAAGGGUCCUGAAGGAACGUUGAAGACGACGACGUUGAUAGGCCGGGUGUGUAAGCGCAGCGAUGCGUUGAGCUAACCGGUACUAAUGAACCGUGAGGCUUAACC